UACGUAGGGUGCGAGCGUUGUCCGGAAUUAUUGGGCGUAAAGAGCUUGUAGGCGGUUUGUCGCGUCUGCCGUGAAAAUUCGAGGCUCAACCUCGAACUUGCGGUGGGUACGGGCAGACUAGAGUGUGGUAGGGGAGACUGGAAUUCCUGGUGUAGCGGUGAAAUGCGCAGAUAUCAGGAGGAACACCGAUGGCGAAGGCAGGUCUCUGGGCCACUACUGACGCUGAGGCACGAAAGCGUGGGGAGCAAACAGG
RNAcentral lists this ribosomal RNA (253 nucleotides) under uncultured bacterium. Its description in RNAcentral is "partial 16S ribosomal RNA". It matches the Rfam family "Bacterial small subunit ribosomal RNA", at positions 524 to 776 of the family's 1533-position model. The record is from RNAcentral.